This 404-nucleotide ribosomal RNA is filed under the name uncultured bacterium. RNAcentral describes it as "bacterial SSU rRNA". It matches the Rfam family "Bacterial small subunit ribosomal RNA", at positions 355 to 776 of the family's 1533-position model. The record is from RNAcentral.
UGGGGAAUAUUGCACAAUGGGGGAAACCCUGAUGCAGCGAUGCCGCGUGGAGGAAGAAGGUUUUCGGAUUGUAAACUCCUGUCGUAAGGGACGAUAAUGACGGUACCUUACAAGAAAGCUCCGGCUAACUACGUGCCAGCAGCCGCGGUAAUACGUAGGGAGCGAGCGUUGUCCGGAAUUACUGGGUGUAAAGGGAGCGUAGGCGGGGCGGCAAGUCAGAUGUGAAAUAUACGUGCUCAACAUGUAGACUGCAUUUGAAACUGUCGUUCUUGAGUGAGGUAGAGGUAAGCGGAAUUCCUGGUGUAGCGGUGAAAUGCGUAGAGAUCAGGAGGAACAUCGGUGGCGAAGGCGGCUUACUGGGCCUUUACUGACGCUGAGGCUCGAAAGCGUGGGGAGCAAACAGG